RNAcentral lists this long non-coding RNA (971 nucleotides) under Phoenix dactylifera (date palm). RNAcentral's name for it is "long non-coding RNA (PDAC_LNC002364)". Lineage: Eukaryota; Viridiplantae; Streptophyta; Magnoliopsida; Arecales; Arecaceae. The record is from RNAcentral.
UUAUAUAGAUCCAAGGGGAAUCAUGAAUGAGACUAAUAGCUUACAGUGAUAGAACUGAAGGCAUAUUGAUGGGUGAACCCUCCAAGAUCAGGUUUGGAUCAAACUAAGAAUCAGAUCAUGCACUUAUGCUGGUGUUAGCAGGGACUGAAAAGGUGGCCUUCUUUGAGCUUUUUACCAAUGAAAGGAGGAUCUAAAUGGGUUGGAUGAAGGGGCCGGGAAGCUUUGAGGUGGCUUUUAUGAUAACUUUGCAAUAGUGAAUCAUCCAUCACAGUCUGCUUUGCAGCUGGUUCCUUUUCAAGUCCUUUCCAAGAAAAAAUACAAUCUGCCAUCUGAUUGCAUCACUCAUGCUAAGAAAAUAAUUUAUAUGUUUUUUUUUGUGAAAUAACUUGUAUUAUCUUUCAUCUUCCUUAUAAAGUAUAAAAGCCUAAUUUUCUGCUAUUAUAUAUACAGGUGGAAGGAUCUGCAGUCCUCACGGCAACACAUUAGAAGCAAGUUGCUCGUGGCGGAGGAGGAUCGAAUCUGGUUGUGAAGGGAUGCACAGGGCAUGAAGUUACCAUGUAUAUAAUGUUGGAAUGUCAUGAGUUUAGCUAGGGUUUUGCUUUGUGCUUUGAUUUAGAAUAAACUUUUAGGUGCAAUUGAUCCUCCUCCAUUUGUGCAUUGUAAUCAGACUUUAUGUAUGUAAAUCUAGUUAUACUCAAAAUAAAAUGUUGGAAGUAACUUUUUCCUAGUAACUGAAAUUUAUUUUUAGCAUAUCAUCUUGAGCACUUAUUACAAAAACCAUGGCAGAGUUCAUCUAAAAAAUAAAGAAAAUCCCAUGGUAGAGUUUCUCUCCUUUUACUUCCGAUGCCUAAGGAGGGAACUGAAAAACAAAUCUCUCCUUUAAGCCAAUUAUUCUAUGGGAAUAUACUUGCACUGUCCAUUAAAAAAACAAUUGGCUCAUUUCAACAUAAUGGCGCUCACCACCGUCUUCC